RNAcentral lists this ribosomal RNA (524 nucleotides) under uncultured bacterium. RNAcentral describes it as "partial 16S ribosomal RNA". It matches the Rfam family "Bacterial small subunit ribosomal RNA", at positions 28 to 523 of the family's 1533-position model. The record is from RNAcentral.
GACGAACGCUGGCGGCGUGCCUAAUACAUGCAAGUCGAACGAAGCCUUUUUAACUGGUGCUUGCACCGACUUAAACAACUGAGUGGCGAACGGGUGAGUAACACGUGGGUAACCUGCCCCAAAGCGGGGGAUAACAUUUGGAAACAGAUGCUAAUACCGCAUAACCACAGAAACCACAUGGUGUCUGUGUCAAAGAUGGUUUCGGCUACCACUUUGGGAUGGACCCGCGGCGUAUUAGCUAGUUGGUAAGGUAAUGGCUUACCAAGGCAAUGAUACGUAGCCUAACGGAGAGGUUGAUCGGCCACAUUGGGACUGAGACACGGCCCAAACUCCUACGGGAGGCAGCAGUAGGGAAUCUUCCACAAUGGACGAAAGUCUGAUGGAGCAACGCCGCGUGAGUGAAGAAGGUUUUCGGAUCGUAAAACUCUGUUGUCAGAGAAGAACGUGUGCGAGAGUAACUGUUCGUGCAGUGACGGUAUCUGGCCAGAAAGCCACGGCUAACUACGUGCCAGCCGCCGCCGUAA